This 174-nucleotide ribosomal RNA is filed under the name uncultured bacterium. RNAcentral's name for it is "partial 16S rRNA". It matches the Rfam family "Bacterial small subunit ribosomal RNA", at positions 338 to 524 of the family's 1533-position model. The record is from RNAcentral.
CCUACGGGAGGCAGCAGUGAGGAAUAUUGCACAAUGGGCGNAAGCCUGAUGCAGCGACGCCGCGUGAGGGAUGACGGCCUUCGGGUUGUAAACCUCUUUCAGUAGGGAAGAAGCGUAAGUGACGGUACCUGCAGAAGAAGCGCCGGCUAACUACGUGCCAGCAGCCGCGGUAAU